CAAUAGCGUAUAUUUAAGUUGCUGCAGUUAAAAAGCUCGUAGUUGGAUUUCGAGUGGGAAUGGCCGGUCCGCCGUUUCGGUGUGCACUUGCUACGCCCACCUUGCUGCCGGGGACGUGCUCUUGAGUUCACGCUCGGGACACGGAGUCGGCGAGGUUACUUUGAGUAAAUUAGAGUGUUCAAAGCAGGCCUACGCUCUGAAUACAUUAGCAUGGAAUAACACGAUAGGACUCUGGCCUAUCUUGUUGGUCUGUAGGACCGGAGUAAUGAUUAAGAGGGACAGUCGGGGGCAUUCGUAUUUCAUUGUCAGAGGUGAAAUUCUUGGAUUUAUGAAAGACGAACUACUGCGAAAGCAUUUGCCAAGGAUGUUUUCAUUAA
Molecule: ribosomal RNA, 377 nt
Filed under: uncultured eukaryote
Lineage: Eukaryota
Description: partial 18S ribosomal RNA
Rfam family: Eukaryotic small subunit ribosomal RNA
Source: RNAcentral